CAGAGGGUGCAAGCGUUAAUCGGAGUUACUGGGCGUAAAGGGCGCGUAGGCGGUUGAAUAAGUGAGAUGUGAAAUCCCUGGGCUUAACCUAGGAGCUGCAUCUUAUACUGUUUGACUGGAGUACUGUAGAGGGUAGUGGAAUUUCCGGUGUAGCGGUGAAAUGCGUAGAGAUCGGAAGGAACACCAGUGGCGAAGGCGGCUACCUGGACAGAUACUGACGCUGAGGCGCGAGAGCGUGGGGAGCAAACAGGAUUAGAUACCCUGGUAGUCCACGCUGUAAACGAUGAGAACUAGAUGUUGGGCAGCUUGACUGUUUAGUAUCGAAGCUAACGCGAUAAGUUCUCCGCCUGGGGAGUACGGCCGCAAGGUUA
Molecule: ribosomal RNA, 371 nt
Filed under: uncultured organism
Description: bacterial SSU rRNA
Rfam family: Bacterial small subunit ribosomal RNA
Source: RNAcentral